GUGGGGCAGUAUUACACAUUAUACUUGAUGGAUAUGUGAGAGUAUGGGGCAGUAUUACACAUUAUACUUGAUGGAUAUGUAAGAGCAUGGGGCAGUAUUACACAUUAUACUUGAUAGAUAUGUGAGAGUGUGGGGCAGUAUUACACAUUAUACUUGAUGGAUAUGUAAGAGCAUGGGGCAGUAUUACACGUUAUACUUGAUGGAUAGGUAAGAGCGUGGGGCAGUAUUACACAUUAUACUUGAUAGAUAUGUGAGAGUGUGGGGCAGUAUUACACAUUAUACUUGAUGGAUAUGUAAGAGCAUGGGGCAGACUAAGAAAUGUUGUGUCACUUCUGUUACACCGCUGAG
Molecule: long non-coding RNA, 348 nt
Organism: Apodemus sylvaticus (European woodmouse)
Lineage: Eukaryota; Metazoa; Chordata; Mammalia; Rodentia; Muridae
Exons: 3
Source: RefSeq, a predicted model, not a curated record